GGUGAGUUUCUGCGUUGAGUCCUCUCCUGCAGCGUUUGGAUUCCCUCUGGCGUACACAUCUGGCUGGCUGCAGAUGAAGCGUCUCUCCGAGUAGCACUGGGAGCAGCUGACACCAGGAUUGUUCAGGUCUUGCUUGGAGUCAAUCACCGCCAAGGAGGCACCCAGGGAAGAGCAGUUAUUCUGGCUAGCGCUCCAGCUCCCUUCACUCCCUGAGAAGUAAUAGCAUUUCCCUUGGUACCCGACCCAGCCAUCAGGGCAAGCAGCAGUGACAUAGGACGGACAGCGGGACAUCUUGGCUGAAAGCAAGCAGGGUGUCAGAUCUCAAAACCGUUAUCUGCUAACAGCUGGAAAUGUGUCCGUGGUGGGUGUGAGAUUCAGCAGUACGUUCAGAGCUUGCAUUCAGGCCGGUUUGUUUAUUGUGUGUAUCUUCUAGACUAAUACCUGGCCUGACUUCAACAGGCAGCUUUGCAUAUACACCCAGACUAAUGUAUGAUCACAAUGCAGAGAUUGCACACAGUGUAUUGUAUUUUCCUCAUAAAACAAGUUUUUUUUACAUAUAUGAAUGAUACAAAAGUAGGGUGAAAAAAUCAGAAAAAAAUGGAAAAUAUUUUUUGUAAAACCUGGAAUUUUUUGGUAAAAAUCAGUUUAAACUGAACACCAAGGGGCUUAAGUGUGACUCUGAAAAUUGGGUUUCUAUCCCUGGCUCAGCCCCCUCCCUGCUGCGUGACCUUGGGCCCAUCUCUUCCCCUCCCCCAUCUUGUCUAUUUGGAUAAUAAACUCCCCUGGGCAGGGACUGUGCUGUGUCUUUUGCUCUUUGCACAACAAAAUAGUGUGUAGCAUCCACACAGGCACAGGGGAGUUCCCAGUCACCGUGUUUAAGUGGGAAUGUUCUUAAUGUUUUCUCUGAAUACU
Mauremys mutica (yellowpond turtle) is the source of this 912-nucleotide long non-coding RNA. RefSeq lists it as uncharacterized. The record is from RefSeq and is a predicted model, not a curated record. NCBI's taxonomy places the organism in Eukaryota, Metazoa, Chordata, Testudines, Geoemydidae. The transcript is spliced from 3 exons.